Non-coding RNA from Schistosoma curassoni, 46 nucleotides. Lineage: Eukaryota; Metazoa; Platyhelminthes; Trematoda; Strigeidida; Schistosomatidae. The record is from Rfam.
ACACUGCUGAAGAGUUCAACAAUAGGACGAAACGGAUGUCCAGUGA